GACGAACGCUGGCGGCGUGCCUAAUACAUGCAAGUUGAGCGCUGAAGGUUGGUACUUGUACCAACUGGAUGAGCAGCGAACGGGUGAGUAACGCGUGGGGAAUCUGCCUUUGAGCGGGGGACAACAUUUGGAAACGAAUGCUAAUACCGCAUAAAAACUUUAAACACAAGUUUUAAGUUUGAAAGAUGCAAUUGCAUCACUCAAAGAUGAACCCGCGUUGUAUUAGCUAGUUGGUGAGGUAAAGGCUCACCAAGGCGAUGAUACAUAGCCGACCUGAGAGGGUGAUCGGCCACAUUGGGACUGAGACACGGCCCAAACUCCUACGGGAGGCAGCAGUAGGGAAUCUUCGGCAGUGGACGAAAGUCUGACCGAGCAACGCCGCGUGAGUGAAGAAGGUUUUCGGAUCGUAAAACUCUGUUGGUAGAGAAGAACGUUGGUGAGAGUGGAAAGCUCAUCAAGUGACGGUAACUACCCAGAAAGGGACGGCUAACUACGUG
Molecule: ribosomal RNA, 497 nt
Filed under: uncultured bacterium
Lineage: Bacteria
Description: partial 16S ribosomal RNA
Rfam family: Bacterial small subunit ribosomal RNA
Source: RNAcentral